UACAGAGGGUGCGAGCGUUGUCCGGAAUCACUGGGCGUAAAGGGCGCGUAGGCGGCUUUGUAAGUUAGAGGUGAAAGCCCGGAGCUCAACUCCGGAACUGCCUUUAAAACUGCAUCGCUUGAAUCCAGGAGAGGUGAGUGGAAUUCCGAGUGUAGAGGUGAAAUUCGUAGAUAUUCGGAAGAACACCAGUGGCGAAGGCGGCUCACUGGACUGGUAUUGACGCUGAGGUGCGAAAGCGUGGGGAGCAAACAGG
Molecule: ribosomal RNA, 253 nt
Filed under: uncultured bacterium
Lineage: Bacteria
Description: partial 16S ribosomal RNA
Rfam family: Bacterial small subunit ribosomal RNA
Source: RNAcentral